This 59-nucleotide transfer RNA is filed under the name Moniezia benedeni. RNAcentral describes it as "tRNA-Cys". The record is from RNAcentral. Lineage: Eukaryota; Metazoa; Platyhelminthes; Cestoda; Cyclophyllidea; Anoplocephalidae.
AAGCAUGAAAACUGUAUUAGUUUUGCAAAAGCUGAUGAGGAGUAUGAUUCCCAUGCUUU